AUUGAACGCUGGCGGCAGGCCUAACACAUGCAAGUCGAACGAGUGGCGGAUGGGUGAGUAAUGUCUGGGACACUGCCUUAUGGAGGGGGAUAACUACUGGUAAUGGUAGCUAAUAUCGCAUACCAUCAGAUGUGCCCCGAUGGGAUUAGCUUGUUGGUGGGGUCACGGCUCACCUAGGCGACGAUCCCUAGCUGGUCUGAGAGGAUGACCAGCGACACUGGAAGGGAGACACGGGCCAGGCGCCUACGGGAGGCAGCAGUGGGGAAUAUUGAGCAAGGGGCGGAGACCUGAGGCAGCCAGGCGACGUGUAUGAAGAAGGCCGUCGGGUUGGAAAGGACUGUCAUCGGGGAGGCGUUACCCGCAGAAGAAGCAACGGCUAAAUCCGUGCCAGCAGCCGCGGUAAUAC
This 406-nucleotide ribosomal RNA is filed under the name uncultured bacterium. RNAcentral's name for it is "partial 16S ribosomal RNA". It matches the Rfam family "Bacterial small subunit ribosomal RNA", at positions 29 to 526 of the family's 1533-position model. The record is from RNAcentral.